GAUGAACGCUAGCUACAGGCUUAACACAUGCAAGUCGAGGGGCAGCAUGGUCUUAGCUUGCUAAGGCCGAUGGCGACCGGCGCACGGGUGAGUAACACGUAUCCAACCUGCCGUCUACUCUUGGACAGCCUUCUGAAAGGAAGAUUAAUACAGGAUGGCAUCAUGAGUCCGCAUGUUCACAUGAUUAAAGGUAUUCCGGUAGACGAUGGGGAUGCGUUCCAUUAGAUAGUAGGCGGGGUAACGGCCCACCUAGUCUUCGAUGGAUAGGGGUUCUGAGAGGAAGGUCCCCCACAUUGGAACUGAGACACGGUCCAAACUCCUACGGGAGGCAGCAGUGAGGAAUAUUGGUCAAUGGGCGCAGGCCUGAACCAGCCAAGUAGCGUGAAGGAUGACUGCCCUGUGGGUUGUAAACUUCUUUUAUAAAGGAAUAAAGUCGGGUAUGGAUACCCGUUUGCAUGUACUUUAUGAAUAAGGAUCGGCUAACUCCGUGCCAGCAGCCGCGGUAAUACGGAGGAUCCGAGCGUUAUCCGGAUUUAUUGGGUUUAAAGGGAGCGUAGAUGGAUGUUUAAGUCAGUUGUGAAAGUUUGCGGCUCAACCGUAAAAUUGCAGUUGAUACUGGAUAUCUUGAGUGCAGUUGAGGCAGGCGGAAUUCGUGGUGUAGCGGUGAAAUGCUUAGAUAUCACGAAGAACUCCGAUUGCGAAGGCAGCCUGCUAAGCUGCAACUGACAUUGAGGCUCGAAAGUGUGGGUAUCAAACAGGAUUAGAUACCCUGGUAGUCCACACGGUAAACGAUGAAUACUCGCUGUUUGCGAUAUACUGCAAGCGGCCAAGCGAAAGCGUUAAGUAUUCCACCUGGGGAGUACGCCGGCAACGGUAAAACUCAAAGGAAUUGACGGGGGCCCGCACAAGCGGAGGAACAUGUGGUUUAAUUCGAUGAUACGCGAGGAACCUUACCCGGGCUUAAAUUGCAGAUGAAUUACGGUGAAAGCCGUAAGCCGCAAGGCAUCUGUGAAGGUGCUGCAUGGUUGUCGUCAGCUCGUGCCGUGAGGUGUCGGCUUAAGUGCCAUAACGAGCGCAACCCUUGUUGUCAGUUACUAACAGGUUCCGCUGAGGACUCUGACAAGACUGCCAUCGUAAGAUGUGAGGAAGGUGGGGAUGACGUCAAAUCAGCGCGGCCCUUACGUCCGGGGCUACACACGUGUUACAAUGGGGGGUACAGAGGGCCGCUACCACGCGAGUGGAUGCCGAUCCCAAAAACCUCUCUCAGUUCGGACUGGAGUCUGCAACCCGACUCCACGAAGCUGGAUUCGCUAGUAAUCGCGCAUCAGCCACGGCGCGGUGAAUACGCUCCCGGGCCUUGUACACACCGCCCGUCAAGCCAUGGGAGCCGGGGGUACCUGAAGUGCGUAACCGCGAGGAGCGCCCUAGGGUAAAACUGGUA
RNAcentral lists this ribosomal RNA (1441 nucleotides) under uncultured organism. RNAcentral's name for it is "SSU rRNA". It matches the Rfam family "Bacterial small subunit ribosomal RNA". The record is from RNAcentral.